UACGUAGGGUCCGAGCGUUGCCCGGAAUUAUUGGGCGUAAAGGGCUCGUAGGCGGCUCGUCACGUCGGGAGUGAAAACUCGGGGCUUAACCCCGAGCCUGCUUCCGAUACGGGCAGACUAGAGGUAGGCAGGGGAGAGCGGAACUCCUGGUGUAGCGGUGGAAUGCGCAGAUAUCAGGAAGAACACCGGUGGCGAAGGCGGCUCUCUGGGCCUUACCUGACGCUGAGGAGCGAAAGCGUGGGUAGCGAACAGG
Molecule: ribosomal RNA, 253 nt
Filed under: uncultured bacterium
Lineage: Bacteria
Description: partial 16S ribosomal RNA
Rfam family: Bacterial small subunit ribosomal RNA
Source: RNAcentral